This 83-nucleotide transfer RNA is filed under the name Sulfuricurvum sp. MLSB. It matches the Rfam family "tRNA". From Rfam's summary of the family: Transfer RNA (tRNA) molecules are approximately 80 nucleotides in length. Lineage: Bacteria; Pseudomonadati; Campylobacterota; Epsilonproteobacteria; Campylobacterales; Sulfurimonadaceae. The record is from Rfam by way of RNAcentral.
GCCAGUGUGGUGAAAUGGUAGACACGACGGAUUCAAAAUCCGUUGGCAGCGAUGUCGUGGCGGUUCGAGUCCGCCCACUGGUA